Molecule: non-coding RNA, 1094 nt
Organism: Poecilia reticulata (guppy)
Lineage: Eukaryota; Metazoa; Chordata; Actinopteri; Cyprinodontiformes; Poeciliidae
Source: RefSeq, a predicted model, not a curated record
AAUUGAUUUAACACGUCUCAAAAUCAAAAAAAAUAAAAAAUAAAAAGUUUUUAAAAAAAAUGUCCUGACGUUGCCAUGGAGACGGUACUGUCUGGAGACGGUAGUGGAGCGGCACAACACGAGGAAACUGUAGAGAUCAAAGCCGGGUCAAAGAGGCCAUCUUGGUCGAAGCCGCCAUCUUGGUCAAAGCGGCCAUCUUGGUCAAAGCGGCCAUCUUGGUCAAAGCGGCCAUCUUGGUCGAAGCGGCCAUCUUGGUCGAAGGAAAACAUUUUGGCAGUUUUUGGUUUUUACUGGAUUCCCGAGAGGAAACCGUGGAUCUGAGCCUCCCCGUGUUCACGGUUCACCAGAUGAAGAUGAGAACUUCAGCAGCGCUCAGUGAUUCUGCAAGCUGAGACCUGCCUUCACUUUGCUGCUGCUGGUGAACCUGAAACUCCCUCUGAGAAAACAAACUUCUUCUUCCUCACGUCUGAAACUGGAACUUUUCUGCUGUGAUGUCACACUUUAGUUUUUCUGUUUACAUUUUUCACUGUUCUUAAAGAAACAGGCACAUUGCAGUGUGACGUCACGCCAUUCAGCUCCCUCUGGAGUCAAAACAGCAGCAUGAGUUUUAGCUGCCAAGUUAUCAACAGAACAGGCUAAAUCUUAAACGUACGCCUGAUAUGAAUGAAAAAGGGACGCAGUGAUUUGCUACACCACAACAACGAGAUAAACCGGUCAGUAAAAGUUUAAUUAUGAAGAAGAGCGCGGUAGUUCAGCUAUGCUAGCUUGACUAUGACAAACAUAGCAUGUAGACGUGCUGCGGGAUCCUGUCUGUUGUGCUUCAGUUAGAAAACAAAAACGGCGACCUGAAUGCAGAUCAUCAGUUUAUAUUAGCUAAUCAACCACUGCUGUGUUAGCUUAGCUAAUAGCAGCGGUAUCUAAUAAUGAUCGAAAAAUAGACCUGAAACUGUAAUGGACUGAAUGUUCUGGUCUCUGUGUGGGAAAUGCUCUUGGUGUUGAAUCCUGAAACAUGCCGUGGCGUUGUCGACUGUUGCUGUGGCGCAAAAUGUCCGGAUGUAAACAAUGACAUGUAUAAAAAUAAAACUGAGAUUCUG